This 497-nucleotide ribosomal RNA is filed under the name uncultured bacterium. RNAcentral's name for it is "partial 16S ribosomal RNA". It matches the Rfam family "Bacterial small subunit ribosomal RNA", at positions 28 to 507 of the family's 1533-position model. The record is from RNAcentral.
GAUGAACGCUGGCGGCGUGCCUAAUACAUGCAAGUCGAGCGAACAGACGCGGAGCUUGCUCCUCUCACGUUAGCGGCGGACGGGUGAGUAACACGUGGAUACCCUACCUAUAAGACUGGGAUAACUUCGGGAAACCGGAGCUAAUACCGGAUAAUAUAUUGAACCGCAUGGUUCAAUAGUGAAAUACGGUUUUUCUGUCACUUAUAGAUGGAUCCCCGCCUCAUUAGCUAGUUGGUAAGGUAACGGCUUACCACGGCAACGAUGCGUAGCCGACCUGUGAGGGUGAUCGGCCACCUGGGAACUGAGACACGGUCCAGACUCCUACGAGAGGCAGCAGUAGGGAAUCUUCCGCAAUGGGCGAAAGCCUGACGGAGCAACGCCGCGUGAGUGAUGAAGGUCUUCGGAUCGUAAAACUCUGUUAUGAGGGAAGAACAAAUGUGUAAGUAACUAUGCACGUCUUGACGGUACCUAAUCAGAAAGCCACGGCUAACUACGUG